This 1040-nucleotide unclassified non-coding RNA is filed under the name Hevea brasiliensis (rubber tree). The record is from RNAcentral. Lineage: Eukaryota; Viridiplantae; Streptophyta; Magnoliopsida; Malpighiales; Euphorbiaceae.
GGGCAAUAGAAAUAAGCGUUGGAGGAGCCUCCCUUCCUCUUCCAUUGGAUAACGGGAUUACAUGGUCUUGCUUCUGCUAAACCCUGUUCUCCCGUUACCCAGUCCAUUCAAUCCUUCUUCUUCCUCUUGAUUCAUGGGAGAAUUUCGGGAUUGAAAGGAUUUGCUUCCUGGAUUUGUGUGAUUGGUUUCUCUGUAUCUGUUGAUGUAUCUUAUUAUUAUUGAAGAAGAGGAUCGGCUUGUGAACUUGCCCAAUUCUUUUCUGGGUAUUCUCAGGCCAUCGAAUCUACCCUUUGAGCAAAAGGCCUUUUCAUUUUGUAUCCCUAGAGAUAGAUGGGAUAAGGAGUUCCUCAAGCUGCAGGGUGGCUAAUUGUUGAUUCGUCUGAUUUCACAAAGUUAUUGUACUAUAGUUGGGAUCCAAUUGGAAUUUUUUGGAUGGAUUCUACACAAGGGUCUACAUUGUCUGCUAAUAUGGCAAAUUUAAUUGAUGGUACACCUACUCGCCGACAGUUUUCUUACAUGGAUAGUAUGCCUGUUUAUGUUAAGGAGCUUAUUGCUGGUGGAGCUGCAGGAGGAUUUGCCAAGACUGCCGUUGCACCUCUUGAAAGGACUAAAAUACUUUUGCAGACAAGAACUGAAGGGUUUCAAUCUCUCGGGGUGUUUCAGUCCUUGAAGAAAUUAUUAAAGCAUGAGGGAAUUUAUGGCUUUUAUAAGGGAAAUGGAGCUAGCGUUAUUCGUAUCGUUCCUUAUGCCGCCUUACAUUUCAUGACAUAUGAGCAGUAUCGUGGUUGGAUUUUGAAUAAUUGUCCUGCUUUAGGUUCAGGGCCUGUUAUAGAUUUAUUAGCUGGUUCAGUGGCUGGAGGAACAGCUGUUAUGUGCACAUAUCCCUUAGAUUUGGCUCGCACUAAACUUGCUUAUCAGGUUUUGGACACAAGUGGAAGUUUCAGAUGUGGAAUGAAAAAUGUAUGUGCUCAACCUGCUUAUGGUGGUGUAAAAGACAUUCUUACAAGUGUCUACAAGGAAGGGGGAACACGUGCACUGUA